This 245-nucleotide ribosomal RNA is filed under the name uncultured Terrimicrobium sp. RNAcentral describes it as "partial 16S ribosomal RNA". It matches the Rfam family "Bacterial small subunit ribosomal RNA", at positions 524 to 768 of the family's 1533-position model. Lineage: Bacteria; Pseudomonadati; Verrucomicrobiota; Terrimicrobiia; Terrimicrobiales; Terrimicrobiaceae. The record is from RNAcentral.
UACAGAGGUCUCAAGCGUUGUUCGGAUUCAUUGGGCGUAAAGGGUGCGUAGGUGGCGAUGUAAGUUUGGUGUGAAAUUUCGGGGCUCAACCUCGAAACUGCAUUGAAUACUGCAUUGCUUGAGGAUUGUAGAGGAGAGUGGAAUUCAUGGUGUAGCAGUGAAAUGCGUAGAUAUCAUGAGGAAGACCAGUUGCGAAGGCGACUCUCUGGGCAAUUCCUGACACUGAGGCACGAAGGCCAGGGGAG